RNAcentral lists this ribosomal RNA (492 nucleotides) under uncultured bacterium. Its description in RNAcentral is "partial 16S ribosomal RNA". It matches the Rfam family "Bacterial small subunit ribosomal RNA", at positions 29 to 507 of the family's 1533-position model. The record is from RNAcentral.
AGUGAACGCUGGCGGUAGGCCUAACACAUGCAAGUCGAACGGCAGCACAGUAAGAGCUUGCUCUUACGGGUGGCGAGUGGCGGACGGGUGAGGAAUACAUCGGAAUCUACUUUUUCGUGGGGGAUAACGUAGGGAAACUCACGCUAAUACCGCAUACGACCUACGGGUGAAAGCAGGGGAUCUUCGGAGCUUGCGCGAUCGAAUGAGCCGAUGUCGGAUUAGCUAGUUGGCGGGGUAAAGGCCCACCAAGGCGACGAUCCGUAGCUGGUCUGAGAGGAUGAUCAGCCACACAGGAACUGAGACACGGUCCAGACUCCUACGGGAGGCAGCAGUGGGGAAUAUUCGACAAUGGGCGCAAGCCUGAUCCAGCCAUACCGCGUGGGUGAAGAAGGCCUUCGGGUUGUAAAGCCCUUUUGUUGGGAAAGAAAAGCAGCAGGUUAAUACCCCGCUGUUCUGACGGUACCCAAAGAAUAAGCACCGGCUAACUUCGUG